GUGCCAGCAGCCGCGGUAAUACGUAGGUCCCGAACGUUGCGCGAAUUUACUGGGCGUAAAGGGUGUGUAGGCGUCCCGGUAAGUCUCUGGUGAAAGCCUUCCGCUCAACGGAAGAAUUGCCAGAGAUACUGUCGGGAUUGAGUCCGGGAGAGGGGAGCGGAAUUCCUGGUGUAGCGGUGAAAUGCGUAGAUAUCAGGAAGAACGCCAGAGGCGAAGGCGGCUCCCUAGCCCGGUACUGACGCUGAGGCACGAAAGCGUGGGGAGCGAACGGGAUUAGAUACCCCGGUAGUCCACGCCCUAAACGAUGGAUGCUAGGUGUUGGAUCCGAGAGGAUUCAGCGCCGAAGCUAACGCGUUAAGCAUCCCGCCUGGGGACUACGGCCGCAAGGCUGAAACUUAAAUGAAUUGACGGGG
This 413-nucleotide ribosomal RNA is filed under the name uncultured prokaryote. RNAcentral's name for it is "bacterial SSU rRNA". It matches the Rfam family "Bacterial small subunit ribosomal RNA", at positions 505 to 918 of the family's 1533-position model. The record is from RNAcentral.